CAUCUAUGUGAAUUAUUACCUAGAUGCUGAUAUGUCCUAAAAGAAAAACUGUGAUGAAUAAAUAAACAGCUCUCGAAAUCUUCAAUAGGGUGCUUUACCUUGCAGGGAAUAUUAUCAUUGGCUUUUGAUACAAUUUCUGCUGCAGGGAAAGACUUUCAAAGCUCAGAAUGCUGAAGCAUUGCCAGGCGCUCAAAGACCCCCUGCAGAGCGCGUCAAACUAAGAAAUCUCUCUGAACUUGUCGAAUUAAAAGUCAUCUCUCUCUCUCUGCAACCCUGCAUGAGCUGGGAAGCUCUGUCCUCAUUUUUCCGGCCCCUCCAUGAUAAACAAAUGGAGCCUAGAGCAUCUUUAUUCUUUACAGACAUGCAAUUAAAAUUCUUUUUAAAAAAAUGUAAUCGAAGGCAAUGAAUUUCAAAGGAACUUCCAGUUAACAAUGAGACUAAACAGUUUGAGUGGGCCACAUUCAAUUGUGUUUCAAAAGUAGAAGCAAAACAGCUUGUUAAGAACCAGAAGUGUCCUUUUUUUAUUUUUAAUAUUUUGAUUGUACAUCAAGAGUGUGUUCUAAACUUAAACAUCUCAGCAGGAUUUAUGAUUCCUGUAAUGUCCUAAGACUUAAUUACUCAGACUGCAAAGAGGAGUACACUAUUAAAAUAUGAACAAAGCCAUAUGAGAUCCCUGGUUGCGGCAAUCAUUAUUAUCUAUCCACACAAAUUAAAGAAGUUAAUUUGUGUUUGCAUUUUUAGGCACCACACUGCACAUUCUUUUUUCCCCCUAUGGUGUGUGCUAGCACCAACACCAUCAUGACAAUUUGAUAGUUUGAUGGGUCAUUACAAAUGCAAUAGCAAAGAGUUACAAAGUCCUUAAUGACUAGCCAAAAAAAAAAAAAAAAAUUGAGGAAAACAUUUUAAAUGCUUUUAGAAAACCAGAAGGGGAGUGAAUGACAGCUUUGAGUGUCAGAGAUAGAAAGCAUUAUUUUUAAAAGGCUGAACAUGUUCCAUGAAAUCUUUGGGAAGAAUUUCUAAGGAUCAUGUGUUCUUUGGUCCUUAUCUUUGUAAGAGAGUAUAUAUAUUGGUGCUAUUAAUUGCCCUCUAGGAUCUGAAAUAUAAUCUCUGCUGGUAGGUGUGAGAAGGGGAGUGAACAUUGAACAUUUUAUUAUUAUCCAGUGAAUCAGGGAUGGAAGGGGUAUAUGUGUGUAGUUUUUAAAAAAACAUGCUUUGUUUAUAGGAUUGAUCUUCCUUCCUGAAUUGAGAUUGUUGGUCAAGGCAACAGGACGGCCCACGUUUCAGACCUGAGCAUUUGGUAGCAUGCAGUUACUGGGAAUAGAAAGAAUACAUUUGGGUCCAUGAGCACAUUGUGUGGCACGAUUUUUAGCUGCUCUGAAUGCAAGGUGAUGUUUCAGGGAGCAAAUGUUCAAAUGGAGAGGGAUGGGGUCUGGGAGAGAGGGCCCAAAAAGAGGCCAAAAAAAUGAGGUGAAUAUUCAGCAUGGGGUCCCUGAAGUCACAGGAAUUUGGUGAAGAAGAAGGACGUUGACAGUUUGAGUUACUGAGAUAAAGGUUAAGAGAAUGAGGAGAAGGAAAAGGUAAGCGGCUUAUUGCUUAAAGAGAAAAACAAUUCACUGCAAGGGGUUAAGGCAAGAAAUGUUUUAUGAGAUACAGACAAUGAGGAAAUUACACUCCUUUGUGGUGUUUCUUAGUAAAGGGAACACUUAGUAAAGAACAAUCACUUAGUUGAUAGAGAGGAUGAUGGGAUCAGGCAGAGAGGUUUUGUUUUUGUUUUAAAACAUAUUCAAAAUGGGAAGGAGAUAAAUGAGGACACAAGGUCCCAAAAGAAGAUGACAGAAGAUGACGGUCCUGGAGAGACAGCAAAUCCAUUCAAGGACCCAGGAGAGUAGAUCUAGGAACCUGAAGCUAGUUUUGUAAAGAGGGAAGGCAUCUUUGGUUUCCAUGUUAGCCUAACUGGAAAAGUGUACAUUAAGCCAAAACGAAAACUUUGAUUUAGGCAUGUUGAGCAGUAUCGCAAGCAAACUGUUAAUAAACCAAAUCAGUUUUAACUAUACAAUGGGAUCUUCUUUAUUAUUUAUUUUUUGGAGGCACCCAUGGCAUAUGGAUAGCGGUAACUGGUCAGGGAUCAAACCCAUGCCACAGCAGCAACCUGGGCCACUGCAGUGGCAGUGCUGGCUUCUUAAUCCACCAAGCCACAAGAGAGCUCCAGAAACUCUGUUCUUUUAACUGAAUUUUAAAUAAAAUCAACCAGUGAAUUGGACCAAAGUAAAUAUUGGAGAGAGGCAAGGGGAUGUACUUAACAUAAAGAAAUAGAGAUACUGUCACUUCCUUCAAAGUCAGUUAUUGGUAACAACUGAUCCACCACUCUAAAACAAAACAACACACACACACACAAAAAAAAACAAAACAAAAAGAAUAUUCUAUUAAUAGAACAUAAAUAAUUUUUAUAAUUUUCUUUCCUCGUCUUUGGAUUAUACCUUGCCCCUUCAUUUUAUUUAAGCUUUGUCUUUAUGGACAUGGAACUAAACAUUUAAAAGUGCUGUGGAAAAAACAAUUAUUUUUUAAUUAAAACAGUUUAAAAAAGAAAGAAUAAAGUGCUGUGUUUACCUUUCAUUUUAAAGAAUCUUAACAUGACAUGUUCAAACCACAACAAACUUAUUUUUCUGCCUGAAAAAAAAUCAAAUAAGAAACAUAAUAUCGAGGUAACUAUUUAAAGCAAGACUGUGAUCUAUUUCGAAGUCCUUGCUGGUACAUCACACAUCUUAACCUGUUCAGAAGACUUCCCAGAAGCUCUUCUCGAGAUAUGUGUUUCUUCAAUCAGAACAAAGAGGGAUCUCAUUUUCUGAUAUUGCAGUAAAAUGUAAGAGCAGCCCUCUAGGUUAAAUUAUGUGAAAAUCCUUUCUCUGAAAAGGAUUCGGGGAGAAGCAAACAGAAUUGAAAUUGACUUGGAUAUCUGAGUCAUAGCUCCAACAUCCAGUGGAUCAUAAACAAUUACCUCAUUUGAUUUUAUUUAUCCCCUUCCCUGGCCCAUUUUUUUUUUUUAAUACACUUGGUUUGGAACAAGUUCGAUUAGAGCAAGUAACAUUAUGACAGCCUUUGCUGUGAAUCAUGGAUGAAGAAGUGACCAUAAUAGGGCCACUAUUAGUCUGUAGCCUAUUUCGCAUUAAAGUUCUUAAAUUACAUGCUGUCCUCUUUCACUUGCACUUAGAACUGCUUUUGAUCUAAAUGUAUAAUAUCGGUCAAGGGAUGUGUAUGCUGUGGAGUUAGGAUGGUAGUUGUUCAAAGUAAUUUGCAAGGGUUUCAUUACUAAAGCAAUGCUACUUUUUAUUAACAGUUUGACACCUCCAGAACGGAGGAGGAAUUACCAUUAUCUUUCACUUUAACAAAACUGUAUGAAGCAACUACAAUCUACUAAAGGCUCUGUGAAGCACUGCAAAGACGAUUUCUCUUUUUAAAUAAUUUACCAUUCAGCCUUGAACUAAUCUUAUCUCUAUGUCAGUUUUGACGUCUGAAGUUGUGUGGUAGACAUUAACCACCACUCUCAGGCACCUAGGCUUGAACUAUUUUCCAUAUUGAGAACGUUUCUAUUGCACAAGUUUCAGUGAAAGACACUCUCUACAGGAGAUUUUAAUUACAUCACUGGCCCAUGGCAGCCAUGGAAGCACCCCCUCAGAUCUCCAUUCAAGAGAGAGCCCACUGCAAAGAGUGUUGUGCAGCUGACAAGUCCCAGCUGCUGCAACCACAGGAUUCACACAACGUUCAUACUCAGGCCAAUGCUCUCCUGGGGCUGUUCACAGAGAAACCCCACCAGCAGCCCAGGCAGAAUACUGGGGCCUGGCUUUCUACCCAGUGGGGGAUGUUCAGAGGGGUGCCCUUGGCCCUGAUGUUCUUAUCAGCCUAUAAGGGGCCACCUUGGAGCUAUUACUAUGGCUGAGGGCCCUUCCACCCAGCCCGAUGGUCUCUAACUCUUCUCUCUCCUUGUAGGUUUUAGACUUGCAUGGAGGACUAAAGUAUUUCCCUGCUGACUCCUGCCUUCUCUCCCUUUUAUUCCUUUUUUUGGCUUUGCCCACAGCAUGCAGAAGUUCCUGGGCCAGGGAUCGAACCCACACUAUGGCAGCAACCCAAGCCACUGCAGUAACAUUGCUGGAUCCUUAACUACUAGGCCAUCAGGGAACUCCUCUCCUUUACUCUUUACAGAUGUUUUCCUCAAUCAAGCUUUUGCACAUGUAACUCCACUCUGUCCAUUCUGGAAGAUCAAAAAAUGAUAGAAUG
This 4272-nucleotide long non-coding RNA is filed under the name Sus scrofa (pig). Its description in RNAcentral is "lncRNA (ENSSSCG00000059336.1)". The record is from RNAcentral. Lineage: Eukaryota; Metazoa; Chordata; Mammalia; Artiodactyla; Suidae.